GAGGUCACAUUAAUAUUAAUCUAAAUUAGCAAAUAUACAAAAUAAAUACAACACAGUACGAGUAGAUACCGGUAAACAUAAUACGAGCAUUAUCUACCCUUGAAUUGGAUUUUUUCUCAGCACAUACAAAUAUUUACCGAUUUAACACACUGUAAUAGUACCUAAACAUAAUCUAUUUUUAGAAUAGGUACUAAAACUAUGUUAACAUUGUUCUAAACUCUAAUAAUUAAGUUAUAUUAUAUUAUAAUCAUACAUUGGUAUAGUAUUUUGUAAUUAUAAUUAUUAUGUAUUUGGAUACAAGUAAAUAGAUAUAUAAUAAUAUUAACGAUAUUAGUUUAACCGUUAUAUUAUUAUAAAUUGCAGAUGUAGUAUACACACAGAAUGCAGUAGGACAAUCUGACACUUUUACAUGUCACUAUAAUGUAAAAAUGUCAAAUAAUCCUGUUACACCCUGUAUAUGUAUAAUUUAUACAAUGCGUCUCCGGGGAAAGUGACCGAUCGGCAUUUUGUGAAAUCACACCAAAAAUGACAGAGAAACCCUCUUUAAACGGGAGGGUGGGGGUACAACAUUUGUACUUUUUAAGUUAUCGGAAAUUUAAGUUUUUUUUUUUUUAAUGAAACCGUACCUGAUGUGCAUUUUUGUCGUGUACCUUUAAAAAUGUUCAACUUACGAACAUAAUUUUUUUCAUAUUAAAGCUAUUCUAUUGUGUUAUAAAUAGGUACACAAUUAAUCCAAAAAUACAUUAAUUAUUCGUACUAAAAAAAAAGCAAAAAUUUGUAUUUUUAAAAAUAAAUCACGUUUAACUCCAAAAAAUUUUAUAUUUACUAACGUUGUUUCUUUUUUUUUUUAAAUUUUAUUAUUCUACUGAAAAAUACCCACAAUAACUUAAAAGUGUUGUUUUCGUAUCUUCCAUCAUUGCAGAAUUAGGUUAUACACUGUUAAACACGAUACUUUAAACCUAAAAACGUCUGGCUUAAUUGUGUGUGUGUGUGUGUGUGUUGGUCAAUAGCAAAAUAGAAUAGCUUUAAAAUAAAAAAAAAAAAGGGCGGGGGACACAUUGUAUAAACAUGUUUAUAAGUUUACUGACUGCUAUAUUUAAGCAGCUUUAUAAUAAUAUACCCGUCACUAAAAAUUAUUAUAGGUACAACAAAAAUGGUGACUAGAUAUUGUAAAUUACAUAUGAUAAUAGGUAUAUAUUAUAUUUUUUUUUUGUACAAAUUAUAAAAACCAUAUACUAACGCUUUACACACUACGAUCAUUUGGCACGUAAAUGCGGAAAACUUGAGUUUCGUAUCAUGUUUCACAUUUUUUAAUGACAUCAUAUUUUGUAACGUUUUCAGUCAGUGUUGUGUUAUAAUAUUAUCAUGCUAAAAUAUAACAAUUUAUGUACAUCAAAUAUUCAAUGUAGGUUUACAUUAUACGGAUACAGGUAUGAUUAUUGUUAUAAUUUUUUUUUUUUUU
Molecule: non-coding RNA, 1462 nt
Organism: Cinara cedri
Lineage: Eukaryota; Metazoa; Arthropoda; Insecta; Hemiptera; Aphididae
Source: the annotation of a GenBank genome assembly